AGAAGCCUUAUUAUAGUUCAGAUCUUCAGUAGCCAAAUUAAGAACAAAAAUUUGAAUUAUGAAUGCCAUGUAUAUACAUACUUAAUUUCGAUACUUUCACUUCGUUUGGAUUGAUGGAUAGGAAGAAACAGAAAGGAAAAGGGUAGGGGGAUCAGUAUAGAUUAAUGGGUUGAAAAAGGCAAAAAAAAAGGGGAUGGUUUAAUUAUUCCUUCAAAUUCCACUUUGU
This 226-nucleotide unclassified non-coding RNA is filed under the name Hevea brasiliensis (rubber tree). The record is from RNAcentral. Lineage: Eukaryota; Viridiplantae; Streptophyta; Magnoliopsida; Malpighiales; Euphorbiaceae.